Molecule: ribosomal RNA, 535 nt
Filed under: uncultured bacterium
Lineage: Bacteria
Description: partial 16S ribosomal RNA
Rfam family: Bacterial small subunit ribosomal RNA
Source: RNAcentral
UAGGGAAUCUUCCACAAUGGACGAAAGUCUGAUGGAGCAACGCCGCGUGAGUGAUGAAGGGUUUCGGCUUGUAAAACUCUGUUGUUGGAGAAGAACGGGUGUCAGAGUAACUGUUGACAUCGUGACGGUAUCCAACCAGAAAGCCACGGCUAACUACGUGCCAGCAGCCGCGGUAAUACGUAGGUGGCAAGCGUUGUCCGGAUUUAUUGGGCGUAAAGCGAGCGCAGGCGGUUUUUUAGGUCUGAUGUGAAAGCCUUCGGCUUAACCGGAGAAGUGCAUCGGAAACCGGGAGACUUGAGUGCAGAAGAGGACAGUGGAACUCCAUGUGUAGCGGUGAAAUGCGUAGAUAUAUGGAAGAACACCAGUGGCGAAGGCGGCUGUCUGGUCUGCAACUGACGCUGAGGCUCGAAAGCAUGGGUAGCGAACAGGAUUAGAUACCCUGGUAGUCCAUGCCAUAAACGAUGAGUGCUAAGUGUUGGAGGGUUUCCGCCCUUCAGUGCUGCAGUUAACGCAUUAAGCACUCCGCCUGGGGAGU